This 417-nucleotide ribosomal RNA is filed under the name Triticum aestivum (bread wheat). RNAcentral describes it as "partial small subunit ribosomal RNA". Lineage: Eukaryota; Viridiplantae; Streptophyta; Magnoliopsida; Poales; Poaceae. The record is from RNAcentral.
AUGGCUCAAGAUAAUACUAAAUUGUGUGACUUUGCCAAUACCAACAAUAAUUAUUUUAUUAGCACUCUGAUUGCUCCUCUUACCGAUGCUGAAUCUUGUGAAAUUAAUACUGCUUUGCUGAAUCUUGUCAUGAAAGAUCUGUUUUCUGGCCUUCCUAGUGAAGAUGUCGCUACCCAUCUAAACAAGUUUGUAGAUUUGUGUGAUAUGCAAAAUAAGAAAGAUGUGGAUAAUGAUAUUAUUAAGCUUAAGCUAUUUCCGUUUUCGCUUAGAGAUCGUGCUAAAGCUUGGUUUUCGUCUUUGCCUAAAACUAGUAUUGAUUCAUGGAACAAGUGCAAAGAUGCUUUUAUCUCUAAGUAUUUUCCUCCUGGUCUUUGCCUAAAAAUAGUAAGAUCAUCUCUCUUAGAAAUGAUAUUAUGA